CGUAUUUUAAUAUCGUUUGCUGGAAAGAAUAAAACUUGGGCUUGAGCAACCCAUCUUUAGGCCUAAUUUUUGGACCUAGUCCAUAAUUACCAAGCCCAUAAUUUAUAGGCUCAUACCCCUAACCUAAUCCCUACCCCUAUAUAAUAGUACCUAAUCCCUACAUAGACCGGGACCCCCAAAAGAUUGAAUCUGCCGUUUGUCUUCUUCCAAAAUCAAAGAAAACCUAGAGCGAGGAGAAAACAAAAGAGGCAGCCUUUAGAUUUUUGCUUCUUCAGUAGAAGAAGAACGGUCUCCAUUCCAAAAGGCUUCAACCACCCUUGAGCACCAGCAAAAACAGCUACAAAUUUGCUGAAGAAAACAGUCAAAAACUUAUCCAAAUUAUCCCCAAAUCAGCUACAAAAUACAGCCAUCAGAGAGCAGUAAAAUCUGUAGAAAAGCUGCUGAAAAAUCAGUCCAAAAACUUCAGCAAAGCAUCUCAUUUUUAGCUCCAAAAACUGCAGAAAUGCAGCAUUUUCUCCCCAAAUCGACCUCAAAUCAACUCCAAAAAAUGAGCUGAAAAUCCAGUUUAAAACCAGCCACCAUCUCCCAUGACAACCUACAGCAAAAUCAGCCCCAGUAAUAUGGAAAAAUCGCACCAAAAGCUAGCAAAACAAAGCACCCUUUUCACCCCAAAACGCAGCUGAAAAAGCAGCCUGAAGACGGUCCAAAAUACCCCAAUCGAGCCCCAAAAUAGUUGUGUUACUGCUGAAAAUCAGCCAUGAAAACAACCACAAAACCAGUCCAAUGCAAUCCCAAAAUAGCUUCAAAAUGGCCUUUGGUCACUUCAAAAUUCGGGUUUCAGCGAGGUCCGUCGAAUUUGUCAAACUCCGUUCGGGGGUCCGGUCCGCUUUCAAGUUUAGAUUAAUGGAUCUGCUAGCGCUCGAGUUUUGGUCGGCUUCCUUUCUUUAUGUACCUGUUGGAAGUUCACCAGUAUAUUAAAAAUUUAAAAGUUCCAUUCUAACUCUAUCCAUUUUAUUUUAUAUUUUGACUUUCAGAUCUUGCUUUGUUUAUGUUUGAAUAAUGCUUGGAGAGGUUCUCUAUCUACUCUAUAGCUCUAGAUGAGGGUUUUGUGUUUAUUUGUUUAAUGGAGAUUAGCUCAUGACAUUGUGAAUCUGUUUGACAAUUUUUGUGGAGUAGAUGCAUAUUUUUGUUUUUCUUAUGAAUUUGUAGUUACAUGUCGUAGGAAGGAGUUGUUUGAUUUGUUGAGUUUGAAGAAAAUAAUUUGAAAUAUGUUGAAUUUAUAAAAGAAUUCAUGUCUGCCAAUUGAUAUUUGUGAGUUAAUUUAAAACUGUUAAUGGGCCAUGUGAAGUUGAAUGUGGGUUCUAAUAUAUGCGCGAUUAAUAAACCAUUGUGACUAUGGGUACGGUUCCCAUGACAUAGUUACGGUGCCUAUUAGUUAAUAAUUAGGGUCAAACCUUUAGUUAAAAAAUAAUUAGAAUGUUUAAGCCUUCCGUAAUUAAUUAGUUAGGCUCUUAAAAGUAGAUUUGAGGCGUGCCAUAUUAAGUAAGAUAUAGUUAUGGCCCUCAAAAGCUUAGUUUGAAUUCCCUUUAAAAAUUGGAAUUGAGGUGCGCCGUGCCAAAUAAAAUCUCAAAAUUCAUGGCCCUCACUUAAUUAAUUUUAAUUCUUAGAAAUCGAGGCGUGCCAUGUAGUUGAAUUUCCAUGGCUCUCACAAAUUUAAAAUGCGUAGUUGGUUUAGGGGCGUAAUUUAAAUUACUUUCCUAAAUUUGGGUGUGCAUUUAUGUGACCCAAAUCCAAAUCUCACAAUGUUAGAUAAAAUAUGUCGGGAACCGCGGGUGCAUUUAUGUGACAUGGUUCAAAACGUGUUUUAGAUGACGUUGAAUCUUUCUUAAAAAUAAUUAAUCAAAAGCGGUUCUAAAGUUAAAAUUGUACCAUAGGCUAAAACAUGUAUUAGAAUCAGAUAAUUAGACCAAUAAUAGCAGUUGAGCGACCGUGCUAAAACCACAGAACUCAGGAAUGCCUAAUACCUUCUUCCGGGUUAACAGAAUUCCUUACCCGGAUUUCUGUGUUCGUGGACUGUAGUACAGGGUCAAUCUUUUCCUCAAUUCGGGAUUUGAAACGGUAACUUGGACACCAUAAAAUUAUCCCAAGUGGAGACUCUAGCGACUCUACUGGGGACAAGAACCCAGAAUCUCUAGUUCAGGGUUCAAGAAUUCGAGCUUAGAAUAAUUGUUAUAUUUGGCUAUAUUUAUUAUCUGAUUUUAUUACAUGUUGGGCCUAAUGUGCUAAAUGUUGCUUUUUACCGCUUUGAUAUUAUUUGAACUGUAUAUAAACUGCUACGAAACCCCUAUUUUCUCUCUUUUGAGGAGUGCACGCUGACGUGACUUCUUUCUGUUAGUGUCAUAUCCCAAAUAGAACGAGGUUCAGACAUGUUGCAAAGCCGGAUAAUCUUUUGGUUACCGGUACGCUGCCCCUCCCCCCCCCCCCCGGCUCAAGUUGUCCGAUCGGGUAAGGCAGGUCUAGAAUAAUAUAUCCAGGUUAUAAACCUAGAAGAACUCAGCCUCAUGCCGGAUCCCUAGUAUGAACGUUUGUUUGCAUCAUGUGCAUUUGACUUUGGAGACUCAAUACAGGGGUCGGGUCUAUCUAGGGCAGGUGUACCCGAAAUGAAAAGACGAUCCUGAUGCAUCUUACGUGCUACUUGUGUAUUUAUCUUUUUCGGCUUGCAUGUUGACUGGCUUCUAGAAUAGGGAAAGGAAAAAAAAGAGAAAAAAGAAAAGAAAAGAGAGUAAGAGGCAAGUAUUUGAAUUAUCCUGAAACUAUGCCAAUUUUUUUUUAAAAAAAAAAAGAAGAGAAAAAGUCAUUUCAAAAUAAGUCAUAUUUUCCUGUUCCAUCAAAACUGACGAACUAUGCGGGUCUGAUUCUCACCGGAUGUGAGAUACGUAGGCAAACCUCAUCGGUUCCGGCCCAUAAUUUUCAAAAAAUCCAAAAAUAUUUUCCAUUACUUACUUCUUUAGAAAGCCUUUCUUUUAGACCCUAAUUGUUUUUAAAAAACAUAUAUAUACAAAAAUAUUUUCUUUUAAUUUCUUCCAAAAAUUCAAAAAUAUUUUCAUUCUUCUUUCAAAAUUGAAAAGCAAAUUCAAAAUUCAAAAAUAUUUUCUUUUUUUAGAAGCAUUUUCUUUCAUAAAUUCAAAUAAAAUUCCAAAAAUAUUUUCUUUCUCCUUUAGAAGUUUCUUUCGAAAUUCCAGUAAAAAAAAUUUCAAAAAAAUAAAGUUAAUUUAUUUACUUUAUUCAUGAUCUUCCCGUACUACGCAAGAUCUGAUUCAUGUUCCCACAUGAUACGUAGGCAACCCAUAUCAGGUUCGAUCACCAAUAAAAUGAAAUGAAGAAAUGAAAAAUAUUGAUAAUAAUAAGGACUGACUGAGUUCAUUCUAACAUGUUUUGUUUUGAAUUGUGAAGAAAGUUGAGGUGGUUAGUUUGUGGUAAGCUGGAAACACAAGAUCCAAGGAAAAAUGAUAACUGACAUCGAAGUUGUUACAAGUGCUCAAGAGACUCAGGGUCAGAGGGUUCAAUAAGAGUCUAUUGUGUUUGAGAAAAAUAGAAUACUGAAACAGCAAAUGACCGAAAUGUGUCAAGCAUGGGCCAGUGGUCAAGGACAGCCUCGUCAUGAGUCACAAUUUGCUACACAGCAAGAGCAGUACCACUCUCCUGAGUACCACUCGUACUCAUUUGAUCUUCCUGCAAACAUUGAGAAGCCUGCCCGAAAGAUGGUACAGGAAGAAAUGACCCAAAGAGUGAAAAACUUAGAACAAUGGUUGAAAAAUAUGCAAGGGUUGGCAGGUCAAAAGAGUGUUGCCUUCAAAGAUCUAUGUAUGUUCCCCGAUGUACACUUGCCGCCUGGUUUCAAGACUCCCAAAUUUGAAAAGUAUGAUGAAUACGGAGAUCACAUCCCACCUGAAAAGGUAUUGCAAUCAACUGAGAGGUGCAGGAAGAAAUGAAGAAUUUUUGAUGGCUUAUUUUGGGGAAAGCCCUACGGGAGUUGCCUCCGAAUGGGUUAUGGAUCAAGAAACGUCUCACUGGUAUGUUUGGGAUGACAUGACACAUGCCUUUGUCAAACAGUUCCAAUAAAACAUUGACAUUGCCCCAGACCGCAAUUCCCUUUCAAACUUGAAGAAGAAACCAGCUGAAAGUUUCAGGGAAUAUGCCAUUAAAUGGAGAGAGCAAGCGGCCAGAGUUAAGCCACCAUGGAUGAGCACGGGUUAAUCACUGUCUUCAUUCAGGCUCAAGAGCCAGAUUAUUUUCAAAACAUGAUGUCCGCAAUGGGUAAACCCUUCUCGGAAGCAAUCAAAAUGGGGGAAAUGAUUGAGAAUGGUCUUAAGAGAGGAAAAAUUAUAAGUCAAGCAAUUCUCAAAGCCGCAACUCAGGGUGUCCCGAUUGAAUCCGAUAAUUUUAGUGACACGAAUGAGAAGCACGAAGAAAUCAUGAGGACAUCAGGGUCGAGAAGAGGUCCUAGGAGAGCAUCUCGAAGGUAUGGGCAACCUCAUCAGGUUUCCCAUGAUUCCCUUGAAUACUACUAUCCAUUUCAGAACCCUCAAUACUCUGUUGAUGCACCUCAGUAUGUUGCCCGGCCACCAAGACACCCUAGAAGACGAGCACUAGCACCACAAAAUCUCCACUAGCCUCCACAAAAUUUUUAAAUGCCCUAUAACCCACAUCUAGGCCAGGGGUAUAGAAGGGAACAAAGGCUGAAAGAUAAUUUUACACCAAUAGGAGAGUCUUAUGCAAGCUUGUUUGAGAAAUUAAAGCAGUAUGACAUGAUAUCACCUAUUCCUCCAAAUCAUGUGGGCCCCCAUGAAAGAAGCUUUGACCCUUCUAAAAGGUGUGAAUACUAUUCCAAUGCCCAGGGGCACAAUGUUGAAAGCUGUCGGGAUUUGAAAAGAGAAAUAGAAAGGAUAAUCCAGGAAAACCUGAUUGUGAUCCAAGACAGUGACACCCACAAUAUCGCGCAGAAUCAUUUACCUGAACAUGAUGAUGCACACUUUGUGGGGUUGAUGCGUGGUGACAGGGAGUGUGAGAAUCCUCUCGGGAAUUUGCUAACUGAAGUUAAUGAUUUUGAAAUUGGAGAAGGCUCUGCUGAUUCUGAUGAGCAAAUUUGUGGCUAAAUGUCAAACUUAGCAAUUGAAAAGUCAUUCCCUCCUCACUAGGAAGGAAUAUUGGUAGUUUGUUUUGAUGUUUUUUCUAUUAUGUGGGUUAUUUUAGGGUUGUGAUCCAGAUUUUAUUUGUUUUAUUUAGUCAAACCCUUCUAUCCCUCCAUCCUGUUUGUGUGAGUCUUGUCUUUCUGUUCUGUUGCUAUUUUCAUUAGCCGGGUUAUUUAGGGUUGUAACUCGGAUUUUAGGUUGUUUGUCUUGUUGUUUACUCAAUGAAAUACAGUUUGUCCUUUUGUGUCAUUCCAUGCUUAGUUCUUUUCCUGCUAGUUUUAAUGACAUGACAUGCAUGCGAAAUUUUUGCCCAGAUCUUAGAAAAUUGAUUUAAGUUUGAAUUGGACAACUGAGGAAAAUACAUUUUUGAGGAUGAAUAAAGAGUUGAAAUACUUUGGAAUUAAGGUCGAGUAAAAUUCACCUUCAAAUCAUUGUGAAGAUCGGGCUUGACUCUUGAAGAUGUUUAAUCAAUUGAAGUUUGUUAGAAAUUUUGACAUUAAGGGAUGGAAAGUGUCUUGUGACCAUGACACACCAAGAGGACAGACAUGUUCGUCAAUGCUGUAAUCGCGAAAGAUACUAUGUUUGGCACUCUCGAGGCUGGGAGGCCCUCUUUAUGCUAUCCAAACACUUUAUAUCCUUCGCUACCCCUUUUGAGCCUGUGUUAUUUUCUUUGACUACACUCUUUUGGAAUCAAGUUUAGAGUCAAGAGUCAAAAAAAAUGAAAAAAACAAAAAAAACAUCCAUGUUCCAAGAGUACAAACUGGGGCAAUUUUCAAGAAAAAAAAAUGAAAAAGAAAAGAACUGGCAAAGAUCCAUGCCCCUAGAAAAUAAAAGCUGGGGCAACCUAUUUUGAAAGAAAAAGACAAAAAAAAAGAAAAAGAAAAAAAUGAGAGAUGAAAAUAGUUAGGUCAGAUAUUUGAACUACAUUCGACCCGAUUCCUUAAAAAAGGAUACGUAGGCAGCCUGAUGGUUCGGUCCAACCAAAUAAGAAUUCAAAAAAAAAGAAAAAAAUCCAAAAAAAAUCCUCAAUAACUGAAAUGGGGCAAAGAUUUUAUUUUACUUUUGAAAGAGUCGAUUCCAAGAGUUGUAAGUCUACAACCCCCUUUAUUUUGAGUCUAUUUUGAGCCUUCAUGACGUCAUUUCUUUCCAACCCUAUCCAAAUCCUUCCAAAUAAAGACCUCCUGAUCAGCCUUCAAGAAUGCCAAGAGAAGCAUGCAAUGAGCAACAGUUGUCACACAACGUAGAACACCGUCGAGUUGCUCGCAAACAAAAGAAGAAAAAGAAAAAGAAAAAGGAAAAUGAGAGAGUUUUACUAGUGAACCCUCACGGGCAUUGUAAGGCGACGGUAAGCAGAGAUGAAUAAAUAAGAGAGACUUGUUGGUGAAAACUCCUCGGGGCACCACUAGUCGAAAGUGAGUCAUGAAGUUGAUGCAAAGGAUUGGCACGAACAAGCCCGACUUCAAAGGUCAUAGGAUUGGUAAAAGGGAAAAUUGGAUUAGUUGGAUAGAUCAGGCCGUUAAGUCCAAAAUGCAUGUCAUGAUCAUUAAGGCUAGUUAGCGCAAAAGAAAAAAAAAUGACAAAAGAAAAAAAAGCUCUUCCCAUGUUCUUCUCGACCGGAGCAUCUCUGGUUAAUACUUGUUUCUUUGCAUUUGUGUCCUUCACUCCGAGUCAGUCCUUGUCAAAACAAGCAAGAAAAGAUUUCAAAAUCUGCUACCAGCUUUUUAGUUGCAUAAAGUAAAUUUGGUCAGUACUCAAUUGUUACUGUCAAUAUACCUUGAGGAUUCAUGCAAAGGCUUCCCCAAAAAAGACUCUUGUCAGCCUGCUUGGCGCAAUCAAAGAUGACUGGUGAUUCUCUCUGACAGAUAAAUUGCUCAAAAGUAGGAAGUCAUUCAAGAUAUCAGAAAAGGUCACCUAAGCAAAGAUCUCCAGUUGGGAUGAGGCUGUUUGAGCUGCAAAUACAAAUGGUACUGGGUGUGAAACAAUCAGAGGUUGAUGCAGAGCAAAAGUCUCUUGAGACCGACUCAAGCUGAUUGAGCACAAAGACAAGCUGCUCAAAACUCAAGGCCACGAACCGACCAACAUUUUCAAAACUGACCAAUUUUUUUUGUGUGAAACAGGAACAAAGCAGUGCAAGAAAAGUAGUUCAAAAAAAAGAAAAAAACAAAAAAAGAUAAGGAAAAGAAAAGAAGAGAAGAGACUACAAAAGGAAGUUUCUCAAAUCUUUAGCUUUGUUUGUUUUGUCAUUGUGCAUAAAAUCUUGCCAUUGAUCUUUACAUUUUUCCUCCUUGGAUAGAGACCUAGUCUGAUGAAUUUUCUCCUAGGAUAGAAAUCUUAGUCUGAUGAAUUUUUCUCCUAAGAUAGAAGACCUAGUCUGAUGAAUUUUCUCCUAGGAUAGAAAUCUUAGUCUGAUGAAUAUUUCUCCUAAGAUACCAAAAAAGAGACCUAGUCUGAUGGAUUUUCUCCUAGGAUCGAAAUCUUAGUCUGAUGAAUCUUUCUCCUAAGAUAACAAAAAGAGGACCUAGUCUAAUGAACUUUCUCCUAGGAUCAAAAUCUUAGUCUGAUGAAUUUUUCUCCUAAGAUAGAAAACCUAAUCUAAUGAAUUUUCUCCUAGGAUAAACAUCUUAGUCUGAUGAAUCUUUCUCCUAAGAUAGAAAACAUAGUCUGACGAAUUUUCUCCUAGGAUAAUCUAAAAAAAAGGAAGUCUGGAUUUGAAAAAAUGGGUCAAUUUCUAGUUUUCUUAAGUAAUCAAUGUUUAGUUUUCUUGAAAUCAGGGGCCCCGCCAGGAGAAUAGGGUCAGUUUUUACUUUAGUCAAGCUUAGUUUAUAGUUUUUCGCAAGCUCAAUCACGUUUAGGAGACACACAUCCUUGUCGUGUCAUUAAUUUUACUCUCAUAAUUGCAUCCUUCAUCAGCAGCGCAGGUGAUUUAUAGUUUUGUUAAUACUCACAGAUGUUCCCAAUAUCAAACUGGGGUAGGAAAAUUUCUUUUGUUUUGUUGUAAUCAGCGCCCACCUGAAGAACAAGAGAAGACAACUCAAGUUUCAAGGGAAAACAGUGGUCAAAGGAAGACGGUUCAAGUUCAGCAAUUAGGAGCCUACCUAGAGAAUAAGAGAAUUCACUUCAGAAUACAAUUCAAGUUAGCAACAAAAGAAACUCGUGGCAAGAAUGUGAGUCAACAGUCCGAGAUGAUCAACAAAAGUUAGUCACAAUAAAGAAAAAAAGAAAGGCAAGAAGUUAAUUCAAAGGCAAAAGUUGAUGAAAGAUAUGGGCUGCUCAAGACAUGACCGAGGUCACAAGCACUGCAUGCUUGGUCUUGAUUCAAAAAGCUGAAGAAGGAUGAACUAGCACCUGCAACUAGCAAGCGUCAAGGUUCAAAUCUAAAGUCUGCAUGAAGAACCACUCAAGACUCAAGAUGAAGCUUCAGAAGACUUAUAGAUAGGAAUCUUGUAACUCGUAGUUGACAGACUUAGCUAGUCUUUUUGAUGUUUUGAUUUUUGAUGUAAUAAUGGGACGGCAGACUGGAACCUCGGCGGAACGACACCUCGACUGGCUCUCCACCUCGGCAUACUAUAUCAUCUCAUUCACCUCUGAACUACACGUGGUCUGAUUCCUUUAUAGCCAAGGAUAUGUACGCAACUCAGAUACCAGGGCUCGGUCACAUUCCCUUUUCCUCUUAGUUUUAGUCUCUCCAAAUAAGAGUCGGGUCAAAAAACCUAUCUAGUCGUUCUUUGUCUAAAAACUCUUCGCGUUUCCAGUCAAGAUCGGCAGUUGUAGACAUGUGAUUUUUGACCAUCCCCAAGGUUUUUCAUAUUUAACAAGUAAAUAUUUAAUUUAGGCCUAAUAUAGCUAUUUCAACUCAUUUUUACUCUUUUACUUUAUUUUAUUUCAAGAAAAUUAAAAUUAUUAGAAAUUGUUCCAUUAAUGUUUUGUAGUCAUUUUUAAUCUUGAAAAAAUACAAAAAAAUAGUUUAUUUUAACGGUGAGUCUUUUUUAACAGUUAUUUUACUUUAGUAGGACUAAUUAAUAAAUGAGAUCGUAUUUUAAUCUCGUUCGCAAGGAAAGAAUAAAACUUGGGCUCGAGCAACCCAUCUUUAGGCCUAAUUUUUGGACCUAGUCCAUAAUUACCAAGCCCAUAAUUCCUAGGCCCAUAUCCCUAACCUAAUCCCUACCCCUAUAUAAUAGUACCUAAUCCCGACAUAGACGGGGACCCCCAAAAGAUUGAAUCCGUUGUUUGUCUUCUUCCAAAAUCAAAGAAAACCUAGAGCGAGGAGAAAACAAAAGAGGCAGCCUUCAGAUCUUUUGCUUCUUCAGCAGAAGAAGAACGGUCUCCAUUCCAAAAAGCUUCAACCACCCUUGAGCACCAGUGAAAAUAGUUACAAAUUUGCUGAAGAAAACAGUCAAAAACUGAUCCAAAUUAUCCCUAAAUCAACUACAAAAUACAGCCAUUAGAGAGCAGUAAAAUCAGUUGAAAAGCUGCUGAAAAAUCAGUUCAAAAAUUUCAGCAAAGCAUCUCAUUUUUAGCUCCAAAAACUGUAAAAAACGCAGCAGUUUCUCCCCAAAAUCGACCUCAAAUCAGCUCCAAAAAUGAGCUGAAAAUCCAGUUUAAAACUAGCCACCAUCUCCCAUGACAACCUGCUGCAAAAUCAGCCCCAUUAAUAUGGAAAAAUCGCACCAAAAGCUAGCAAAACAAAGCACCCUUUCCACCCCAAAACGCAGCUGAAAAAGCAGCCUGAAGGCAGUCCAAAAAUCACCCCAAUCUAGCCCCAAAAUAGUUGUGUUACUGCUGAAAAUCAGCCAUGAAAACAACCACAAAACCAGUCCAAUGCAAUCCCAAAAUAGCUUCAAAAUGGCCUUUGGUCACUUCAAAAUUCGGGUUUCAGUGAGGUCCGUCGAAUUUGUCAAACUUCGUUCGGGGGUCCGGUCCGCUUUCAAGUUUAGAUUAAUGGAUCUGCUAGCGCUCGAGAUUUGGUCGGCUUUCUUUCUUUAUGUACCUGUUGGAAGUUCACCAAUAUAUUAAAAAUUUAAAGGUUCCAUUCUAACUCUACCCAUUUUAUUUUAUAUUUUGACUUUCAGAUCUUGCUUUGUUUAUGUUUGAAUAGUGCUUGGAGAGGUUCUCUAUCUACUCUAUAGCUCUAGAUGAGAGUUUUGUCUUUAUUUGUUUAAUGGAGAUUAGCUCAUGACAUUGUGAAUCUGUUUGCAAAUUUUUGUGGAGUAGAUGCAUAUUUUUGUUUUUCUCAUGAAUUUGUAGUUACAUGUCGUAGGAAGGAAUUGUUUGAUUUGUUGAGUUUGAAUAAAAUAAUUUAAAAUAUGUUGAAUUUAGAAAAGAAUUCAUGUCUGCCAAUUGAUAUCUGUGAGUUAAUUUAAAAUUGUUAAUGGGCCACGUGAAGUUGAAUGUGGGUUCUAAUAUAGGCGCGAUUAAUAAACCAUUGUGACUAUGGGUACGGUUCCCAUGACAUAGUUACGAUGCCUAUUAGUUAAUAAGUAGGGUCAAACCUUUAGUUAAAAAAUAAUUAGAAUGUUUUAAGCCCUCCUUAAUUAAUUAGUUAGACUCUUAAAAUUAGAUUUGAG
This 10756-nucleotide long non-coding RNA is filed under the name Nicotiana tabacum (common tobacco). RNAcentral's name for it is "long non-coding RNA (NTAB_LNC006034)". The record is from RNAcentral. Lineage: Eukaryota; Viridiplantae; Streptophyta; Magnoliopsida; Solanales; Solanaceae.